RNAcentral lists this ribosomal RNA (435 nucleotides) under uncultured bacterium. RNAcentral's name for it is "partial 16S ribosomal RNA". It matches the Rfam family "Bacterial small subunit ribosomal RNA", at positions 29 to 507 of the family's 1533-position model. The record is from RNAcentral.
AACGAACGCUGGCGGCAGGCCUAACACAUGCAAGUCGAGCGGACAUCGUCGGCUUGUAGCUGCGUACAGGGGAGUAAGGCGUGGUAACGUGCCCGUUUCUGCGUGAUAGCGUCGGGAAACUUGGGGUAAUACCGGCUGUACCCUUUUGGGUAAAGAGUUAUCGGCAAAGGAUCGUUCGGCGUUGGAUUAAGUAGUUGGUGGGGUAAUGGACUACCAAGCCGACGAUACAUAGCUGGUUUGAGAGGAUGAUCAGACACACUGAGGCGGGGACACGGCGCAGACUACUACGCAAGGCAGCAGUGGCGAAUCUUAGACAAUCGGGUAAGCGCUGAUCGAGCCCGGACUCGUAAGCGAUGAAGGCCUUAGGGUUGUAAAGCACUUUCACCGCGGACGAUAAUGACGUUACCCGGAGAAGAAGCCCCGGCUAACUCCGUG